Molecule: ribosomal RNA, 432 nt
Filed under: uncultured bacterium
Lineage: Bacteria
Description: partial 16S ribosomal RNA
Rfam family: Bacterial small subunit ribosomal RNA
Source: RNAcentral
AACGAACGCUGGCGGCAUGCCUAACACAUGCAAGUCGAACGAGACCUUCGGGCCUAGUGGCGCACGGGUGCGUAACGCGUGGGAACCUGCCCUUAGGUUCGGAAUAACUCCCCGAAAGGGGUGCUAAUACCGGAUAAUGUCUUCGGACCAAAGAUUUAUCGCCUUUGGAUGGGCCCGCGUUGGAUUAGCUAGUUGGUAGGGUAAAAGCCUACCAAGGCGACGAUCCAUAGCUGGUCUGAGAGGAUGAUCAGCCACACUGGGACUGAGACACGGCCCAGACUCCUACGGGAGGCAGCAGUGGGGAAUAUUGGACAAUGGGCGAAAGCCUGAUCCAGCAAUGCCGCGGGAGUGAUGAGGGCCUUAGGGUUGUAAAGCUCUUUUACCCGGGAUGAUAAUGACAGUACCGGGAGAAUAAGCUCCGGCUAACUCCGU